Hevea brasiliensis (rubber tree) is the source of this 382-nucleotide long non-coding RNA. RefSeq lists it as uncharacterized. Lineage: Eukaryota; Viridiplantae; Streptophyta; Magnoliopsida; Malpighiales; Euphorbiaceae. The record is from RefSeq and is a predicted model, not a curated record. The transcript has 2 exons.
UACUAUAUAAAUUUCUCUAAUAUCAAUCCAGCUGCUUCUUCUCUUUCGCCGGCCGAUUCUUUCACCCAUGGUGAGAUCGAUCACUGCAGAACCCAAACACUUCCUCAUCCAUUUUUUUUUUCAGUCGAGGCACACUUUCGAAAUCCCAAUUUGGCUACUGUUUAUUGCUUCCCUGCUGCCGUAGCACGCUCACGAUUCUGUUUGGCUGCUUCGCUAGGCACGCUCGUGAUUUUGUUUUGCUGCUUCACUCGGCACGCUCGUGAUUCUGUUUUGCUGCUUCACUCGGCACGCUCGUGAUUCUGUUUUGCUGAUGUCUUACAGGUUUGUAUUUUAUUGGUUCUUGAACCCUGCCAAAUCGUAACAAAAGAGAUUUGAUCGAUUA